GUUCUUGCUACGGCAGAACAUAUACUAAAAUUGGAACGAUACAGAGAAGAUUAGCAUGGCCCGUGCGUGGACAGGCGGGCAGAAAAACUUGGCUUGAUUCA
Non-coding RNA from Glossina fuscipes fuscipes, 101 nucleotides. Lineage: Eukaryota; Metazoa; Arthropoda; Insecta; Diptera; Glossinidae. The record is from Rfam.